CCAAAUGUUUCAGCUGCAGCUGCAGAUUUUCUGACGUCAGAGGAUGUGAUCACGGUUGUUGCAGCGCUUGCUGGAGGUCUGGUCGGCAUUGUGUGUGUAUCUCUGGUGGUGGUCCUGCUCUGGAGAAAACAUCGUUCAGCCGGAAACAAUUUUGUGGUUAACAAGAAGCCUGGCCAGAACCAUUUCCUUCAACAAAACUACUCUCAUGCUCAUCCCUUGAAGAAGGUAUACUUGUUGUAUGCCGAAGAUCACAAAGAUCACAUUAAUGUGAUCACCAAUCUGGCCAUCUACCUGAAAGACCACUGCAAGUGCGAGGUGUUCUUCCUGCCGUGGUUCCGCGGCACCAUCCAGACAA
Molecule: long non-coding RNA, 355 nt
Organism: Haliotis rubra (blacklip abalone)
Lineage: Eukaryota; Metazoa; Mollusca; Gastropoda; Lepetellida; Haliotidae
Exons: 3
Source: RefSeq, a predicted model, not a curated record